ACCUCUCGGGGUUACAGCCUUGCUGAAUUAUUCACCCUUGUCUUUUGCGUACUUCUUGUUUCCUUGGUGGGUUCGCCCACCACUAGGACAAACAUAAACCUUUUGUAAUUGCAAUCAGCGUCAGUAACAAAUUAAUAAUUACAACUUUCAACAACGGAUCUCUUGGUUCUGGCAUCGAUGAAGAACGCAUCGAAAUGCGAUAAGUAGUGUGAAUUGCAGAAUUCAGUGAAUCAUCCAAUCUUUGAACGCACAUUGCGCCCUUUGGUAUUCCAAAGGGCAUGCCUGUUCGAGCGUCAUUUGUACCCUCAAGCUUUGCUUGGUGUUGGGCGUCUUGUCUCUAGCUUUGCUGGAGACUCGCCUUAAAGUAAUUGGCAGCCGGCCUACUGGUUUCGGAGCGCAGCACAAGUCGCACUCUCUAUCAUCAAAGGUCUAGCAUCCAUUAAGCCUUUUUUUCAACUUUUGACCUCGGAUCAGGUAGGGAUACCCGCUGAACUUAAGCAUAUCAAUAACCGGAGGAA
This 518-nucleotide ribosomal RNA is filed under the name Alternaria sp. SC13S1-1. Its description in RNAcentral is "eukaryotic LSU rRNA". The stretch from base 143 to 296 matches the Rfam family "5.8S ribosomal RNA". The record is from RNAcentral. Lineage: Eukaryota; Fungi; Ascomycota; Dothideomycetes; Pleosporales; Pleosporaceae.